UUCAAAAUUCUCCCCAACCGAUUGCUGCCAGAACUAGAAUCUGGAUGACAAUGUCUCUAAAUGACCCGGCCUCUGCCGAACUCUGUCUCUGUACGAAUCGUUCAUGCUGUGCCCCGACUUCUGACAAGCCGCCUCUGCAAAGACCUAGUUCGAUAGACGGUCAGGCGCAGAACGAGUCAUACAGGGAACGUGUGAGGGAGAGACCGAGUCAAGCACAGACCGCAUCAGGCAGAACACCUGUGCACAGGCCGGGUCCGCAGAGGUUGGGUGAAGCACAUACACUGUCAGCAGAGCCGGGAGAAGCACAGGGGUAAUGUGGUUGAAACUGUGUGAGGCUAAUACAGUCCGGAAGAGACCGGGUUCAAGGAGAGAACAGUUCUGUUGUGGAUGGUGUCACUUACGGGCCGUCGUUUUAAAGAACGUUUCGGACAGAGACCGUGUGAGGCAAGGCCCUUGUUCGGCAGAGAACGAGUCCAGCAGAGACCAGGUGAGAGAGAGACUUAUUAAGGCAGAGAGCUCGUGAGGCCGUGAUCGAGUCAUGCGGAGACCUGGUGUGGCAGAAAUGAGUUCUAGCAGAGAGCUGUUCUGGUGAUGUUCGGUUGGGGCGAAUUUUGAGAAUUUUUCAAAAUUUUCAAAAGAUCAAAAAUUGCUGGAAUUUGUCUAAGAACCAAGUAAAACAAAAAAAUUUAAGUUAUAAUUUUUCAAAUGUUUUAGUUUUGUGCGCCAUUUUAUAAUGUGUAGAGAAGCUGACCAUCAGCCCAAAUAAAAGAGAAAAUACAAUAAAGAAAGACAAAGAAGAAAUGAGACAUGUGUGAAAUCCUAACUUUCUGCUGCUGGAUUGCCAUGAACCACACACUGGUGAGAGCAUUGUGGCUGAGUUUUCUACUCAUCAGAGUAAUAGACUACUUAUUCCAGGUGGCUGUAUCUCAAAACUCCAGCACCUUGAUGUUAGUUUGAAGAGCAUGUUCCAUGUAAGUAAGUCUGUGACGUAACAGCUCCAGAGAGCCAAAGCUGACUAGCUUGACUGCUGGCCUCACGUUCACAUGCCUAAGCAGAGGCAAACGAUCAUCCAACCAGAUAUAGAGUGACGUGUGGUCAGCAUG
Non-coding RNA from Zootermopsis nevadensis, 1103 nucleotides. The record is from RefSeq and is a predicted model, not a curated record. NCBI's taxonomy places the organism in Eukaryota, Metazoa, Arthropoda, Insecta, Blattodea, Termopsidae.